This 460-nucleotide ribosomal RNA is filed under the name uncultured bacterium. RNAcentral describes it as "partial 16S ribosomal RNA". It matches the Rfam family "Bacterial small subunit ribosomal RNA", at positions 338 to 795 of the family's 1533-position model. The record is from RNAcentral.
CCUACUGGUGGCAGCAGUGAGGAAUAUUGGUCAAUGGGCGCGAGUCUGAACCAGCCAUGUAGCGUGAAGGAUGACGGCUCUAUGGGUUGUAAACUUCUUUUAUAAGGGGGUAAAGCGAGGUACGUGUGUCUUGUUGUAAGUAUCGUACGAAUAAGAAUCGGCUAACUCCGUGCCAGCAGCCGCGGUAAUACGGAGGAUUCGAGCGUUAUCCGGAUUUAUUGGGUGUAAAGGGAGCGUAGACGGGUCGUUAAGUUAGAUGUGAAAGCUUGCGGCUCAACCCCGACACUGCCUCUGAUACUGGCAGCCUUGAGUUUAGUUGAGGUAGGCGGAAUGCAUGGUGUAGCGGUGAAAUGCAUAGAUAUCACACAGAACUCCGAUUGCGAAGGCAGCUUACCAAACUACCACUGACGUUGAUGCACGAAAGUGUGGGGAUCAAACAGGAUUAGAUACCCCGGUAGUC